AACGGCCGUACCAUGCUGAAUAUACCGGUUCUCGUUAGAUCACCGAAGUAAGCACAUUGGGCGCGGUCAGUCAGGUGGUCACUGGGUGACCACCUGGGAACACUGCGUGCCGCUG
Molecule: ribosomal RNA, 115 nt
Filed under: Caerostris darwini
Lineage: Eukaryota; Metazoa; Arthropoda; Arachnida; Araneae; Araneidae
Source: RNAcentral